UACGAGCGCACCCUUGUCCUUAGUUACCAGCACGUAAUGGUGGGCACUCUAAGGAGACUGCCGGUGACAAACCGGAGGAAGGUGGGGAUGACGUCAAGUCAUCAUGGCCCUUACGGCCAGGGCUACACACGUGCUACAAUGGUCGGUACAAAGGGUUGCCAAGCCGCGAGGUGGAGCUAAUCCCAUAAAACCGAUCGUAGUCCGGAUCGCAGUCUGCAACUCGACUGCGUGAAGUCGGAAUCGCUAGUAAUCGUGAAUCAGAAUGUCACGGUGAAUACGUUCCCGGGCCUUGCACACACCGCCCGU
RNAcentral lists this ribosomal RNA (306 nucleotides) under uncultured Gammaproteobacteria bacterium. Its description in RNAcentral is "bacterial SSU rRNA". It matches the Rfam family "Bacterial small subunit ribosomal RNA", at positions 1091 to 1397 of the family's 1533-position model. Lineage: Bacteria; Pseudomonadati; Pseudomonadota; Gammaproteobacteria. The record is from RNAcentral.